This 402-nucleotide ribosomal RNA is filed under the name uncultured bacterium. RNAcentral describes it as "partial 16S ribosomal RNA". It matches the Rfam family "Bacterial small subunit ribosomal RNA", at positions 338 to 732 of the family's 1533-position model. The record is from RNAcentral.
CCUACGGGUGGCAGCAGUAGGGAAUCUUCCACAAUGGGCGAAAGCCUGAUGCAGCAACGCCGCGUGGGUGAUGAAGGUCUUCGGAUCGUAAAACCCUGUUGUCAGAGAAGAAAGUGCGCGAGAGUAACCGUCCACGAUUCGACGGUAUCUAACAAGAAAGCCACGGCUAACUUCGUGCCAGCAGCCGCGGUAAUACGUAGGUGGCAAGCGUUAAUCGGAUUUAUUGGGCGUAAAGGGAACGCAGGCGGUCUGUUAAGUCUGGUGUGAAAUCCGUCGGCUUAACCGGGGUAGUGCAUUUGAAACUGGGAUACUUGAGUGCGGGAGAGGAGAGUGGAACUCGAGGUGUAGCGGUGAAAUGCGUAGAUAUAUGGAAGAACACCAGUGGCGAAGGCGGCGCUCUGG